AUCCAGCUGACGAGUCCUAAAUAAAAUGAAACGCGUUUCCUCGAU
This is a non-coding RNA of Schistosoma margrebowiei, 45 nucleotides long. NCBI's taxonomy places the organism in Eukaryota, Metazoa, Platyhelminthes, Trematoda, Strigeidida, Schistosomatidae. The record is from Rfam.